This 306-nucleotide unclassified non-coding RNA is filed under the name plant metagenome. RNAcentral's name for it is "partial contains 5.8S ribosomal RNA, internal transcribed spacer 2, and large subunit ribosomal RNA". The stretch from base 1 to 105 matches the Rfam family "5.8S ribosomal RNA", at positions 50 to 154 of the family's 154-position model. The record is from RNAcentral.
GAAAUGCGAUAAGUAAUGUGAAUUGCAGAAUUCAGUGAAUCAUCGAAUCUAUGAACGCACAUUGCGCCCGCCAGUAUUCUGGCGGGCAUGCCUGUCCGAGCGUCAUUUCAACCAUCAAGCCCCCGGGCUUGUGUUGGGGACCUGCGGCUGCCCGCAGGCCCUGAAAACCAGUGGCGGGCUCGCUGUCACACCGAGCGUAGUAGCAAUCACCUCGCUCAGGGCGUGCUGCGGGUUCCGGCCGUUAAACAGCCUUACAAAACCCAAGGUUGACCUCGGAUCAGGUAGGAAUACCCGCUGAACUUAAGC